Pogoniulus pusillus (Red-fronted tinkerbird) is the source of this 2086-nucleotide long non-coding RNA. RefSeq lists it as uncharacterized. Lineage: Eukaryota; Metazoa; Chordata; Aves; Piciformes; Lybiidae. The record is from RefSeq and is a predicted model, not a curated record. The transcript has 2 exons.
GGAGGGCGCUGCGCCUCGGGCUGCCUGCGCUGGCCGCGGCUAGCGGAGCGGAGGGCGCUGCGCCUCGGGCUGCCUGCGCUGGCCGCGGCUAGCGGAGCGGAGGGCGCUGCGCCUCGGGCUGCCUGCGCUGGCCGCGGCUAGCGGAGCAGCUGCCCCUCUGGCGAGUGCGCCCCCCUGGGGGCACGGCUGCGUGAGGGGCUUCAGCUGGCUGUCUGUUUACUGCUCUGAGAGACCCGUAUGUGUGUGUAGCCUGAGGGGAGUCUUCCCCUGCCUAGUGCUGUUCCUGGUCGGAAGCGCAGGGAAAGAGGGUCUGGCGGAAGACUGGCUGGCACAAAAGCCAAGUUUGGAGAGGGUCUGGAUACAGAAUGGGAUCUGAAAUGAUGGAAGCUGAUGGCUCUGCAAACUCCAGACAGCUUCCUGCCAGAGAACAUGGUCAGCUAAAAGUGAAGAACAGAACACAUGGUAGGUAAAAAAGCAAAGGGCAUGUCCUUGACUCCAUUUUCUUGGGAUUCUCUAGGAAAUGAUGCUGCUAAGUAUUCCUUGCUCUUUUUUCCUUUUUAGUCAAUAAACAAAUUAUUUUGCAAAUGUUAACUAAAGCCUACCAUGUGGGGACAGCAUUCCUAUGUCCUUUUGACAGAGGGCAACACUGAGGACUGCUUAAGGCAUACGGACAAAGUUGGUGCCCCUGACUUGCAGGAGUCCUGCUCUUCUGUCCUGGUGUGAAAGACUGCUGCCUGAGAGGACUUGUAAAGAGACCAGAAAGACCUGAGCAUGCAAACUCUUUCCAGGUAUGUGCAGCAGGGCAGAGAAGAGUGAGCAUGAAGGACAAGCACCCUGCCCCAGAGACACUGGCUGGCUGGUUCCUCCCCAGAACAGACCCUUGCUCUGCUUUCUUUAACAUUCUGCCUGCUCCAAAUCAGUCCUUUCUGCUUACCCCAUCCUUUGCAUAUGUCAUGGGAAGGGACAGAAAAACAACCUUGCUUUUUCAGGACAAAGGCUUUGACUGGAGUUCCUCCCGGGUUCUUAAAAAGGUGUGGUACCAAAAAGACCUUGAAAUGGGGCUGGAGAUUAUUGAGACACUACCUAAAUGCCACUGGCACCUCUUCUUUUGUAGGUGUCACCUCCCCAGAGUUAGUGGAAAGGUUUAAGGAACAAAGAGCAAUGCUGAGAUGAGAUCACCCAGAUGUGUGUGGAACAGGAACAGCUGCCCAACAGGUAGGAAUGGGAGGGAUAUCCUGCUUUAGGAGAGGAAUGGCAUGCCUUGUUUGGGACAGGUAGGAUGACUGCUGACAAGUAGCCUGGAAUUGUGUGCAGGACCUGUUGUAUCAGGAGCAGAUUGGUUUGGACUUGGGUGUUUCUAGCAGUCUGCAGUUCUCCUUUCCCCAUUUUAUUAUUGCUUCUGGUUUUGCCUACAAAGCAUGAAAAGUUUUGAAAGGAAGAGUACUGAAAAUUGACUGUCUGGUAUUUCUGCCUCCCAGCAUGUCUCAUAGCAAGGCAGCUUGCACAAGAUCUGGAAGAUGGAGGGAGGAGUUUAAUUACUGAUAGAAGGGGAUGAUCUCCAAAGAAUGAUUGCAACAGGCCACAGAUAAUCUGGUGUUUAAAGCUUGCAUGGUGAUGCAGGACACUUGGAUGCAGAUUCAUGCCCACUUUUGCCUUCACGAUCACAAGUUACUGGGAAGACACCUCAUGGAUUUGGUCUCAUUGGGGGCCCUCAUCCAGCUGGAACAACAGAUCCAUCUCUGGUGUUACAGGCAGUGAUUUGAAGGAGCUGUCAAAUGGUUAAAGCAUGUGGACAGGUUCCUACAUGCUCCCUACAGCAAGCUUGCAGUGCCUGUGGGGAUCUGUGAGGACUCUGACGCAGUAAGAAGUGUUCAGGAGGUGAGCUUGUCUGAAAGGAUAGCAUCUAAAUACUUCUGAUGGCUGGUGUGCAGUGCCUGCAUGGUUUUUAGUGUCCAGCUGCCUCUAAAUUGCUUCGCUUCAAGUCCCUGGUCUCAGUACCAGUUCCUACAACAUUUAAAUACAUUCAAAAUGUGGAUGUUCAGCUUUAAGUAUUGUGAUAUUAAACUGAUGCUAGUGGCAAAGAGUA